AAUUGACGGGGGCCCGCACAAGCGGUGGAGCAUGUGGUUUAAUUCGAUGCAACGCGAAGAACCUUACCUGGUCUUGACAUCCACAGAACUUUCCAGAGAUGGAUUGGUGCCUUCGGGAACUGUGAGACAGGUGCUGCAUGGCUGUCGUCAGCUCGUGUUGUGAAAUGUUGGGUUAAGUCCCGCAACGAGCGCAACCCUUAUCCUUUGUUGCCAGCGGUCCGGCCGGGAACUCAAAGGAGACUGCCAGUGAUAAACUGGAGGAAGGUGGGGAUGACGUCAAGUCAUCAUGGCCCUUACGACCAGGGCUACACACGUGCUACAAUGGCGCAUACAAAGAGAAGCGACCUCGCGAGAGCAAGCGGACCUCAUAAAGUGCGUCGUAGUCCGGAUUGGAGUCUGCAACUCGACUCCAUGAAGUCGGAAUCGCUAGUAAUCGUGGAUCAGAAUGCCACGGUGAAUACGUUCCCGGGCCUUGUACACACCGCCCGUCACACCAUGGGAGUGGGUUGCAAAAGAAGUAGGUAGCUUAACCUUCGGGAGGGCGCUUACCACUUUGUGAUUCAUGACUGGGGUGAAGUCGUAACAAGGUAACCGUAGGGGAACCUGCGGUUGGAUCACCUCCUUACCUUAAAGAAGC
RNAcentral lists this ribosomal RNA (637 nucleotides) under Escherichia coli. RNAcentral's name for it is "bacterial SSU rRNA". It matches the Rfam family "Bacterial small subunit ribosomal RNA", at positions 908 to 1533 of the family's 1533-position model. The record is from RNAcentral. Lineage: Bacteria; Pseudomonadati; Pseudomonadota; Gammaproteobacteria; Enterobacterales; Enterobacteriaceae.